This is a non-coding RNA of Schizosaccharomyces pombe (fission yeast), 727 nucleotides long. The record is from the annotation of a GenBank genome assembly. NCBI's taxonomy places the organism in Eukaryota, Fungi, Ascomycota, Schizosaccharomycetes, Schizosaccharomycetales, Schizosaccharomycetaceae.
AACGGGAUAAGUAGCGUCCGCAUCAUAACCAUCAAGGUCACCACAUGCAAUAAAUGGUGCAAUCUCAUGAGCAUUGGUUGGAUCGAUUACACAUAAAGGUUUUGUUAAAUCGGGUUGAAAAUUAGAAGGGGGGUUAAAAUCUUCACAAACGACAAAGGACUCGAUAGAGCUAGCACGAGAGCUUCUUGGUUUAGCACAAGAAACUUUUCGAAACAUCAAACGAAGCUGAGAGUAUAACAGUGAAACAUCUCGUCCACGAAAAAUUUUUGCAACAAAUUUCCCACCAGGCUUUAAAACACAAACCGCUAAAUUAAAUGCAGCUAACAAUAUCUGUGCUUGAAUAUAUUCAUCUAGGUCGUGCAAACCAGUAACAUCUGGGGCACCAUCACUAACUACGAGAUCAGCCGGUUCAUUACCAAAGUGAGACAAAAUAAUUGAAAGGGUGUUGGGAUGAGUAAUGUCUAAUUGCAGGGUGCAUACCCCAUCGAUUGGUGCCAUGGGUUGAAGAUCAACAGCAACAAUCAUAGGUUUCUCAUCUGCGGCAAUGGAAGUAUCAAUGUUUUUGAGUAACUCACGAGACAAAACUUGAGACCAAGACCCCGGUGCAGCACAUAAGUCUACAACUCUUUUUGCUCCUUCAAAUAAAUUGAACUGUUCGUUUAAUUGGAGCAAUUUGAAAGCUGAGCGGGCUCUCCACCCUUGUUCCUUCGCCAGACGAUAAUAGGCA